This 104-nucleotide small nucleolar RNA is filed under the name Macleaya cordata. RNAcentral describes it as "Small nucleolar RNA Z103". It matches the Rfam family "Small nucleolar RNA Z103". From Rfam's summary of the family: This family consists of several snoRNA Z103 sequences which are members of the C/D class of snoRNA which contain the C (UGAUGA) and D (CUGA) box motifs. This family seems to be found exclusively in plants. C/D box small nucleolar RNAs are known to act as a methylation guides for 18S ribosomal RNA. The record is from Rfam by way of RNAcentral. Lineage: Eukaryota; Viridiplantae; Streptophyta; Magnoliopsida; Ranunculales; Papaveraceae.
AUGGAGGUGAUGAUCCUUUCCCCAGAUGAUCGACAAUGAUUAUACUGUGCGUUUGUUGUAUUUUCUCUCUCUAGAGAAUCUAUCAAGCCAGAAUUCUGAUCCAU